UGGGCUUGAAACGCAGUAGACCGGUUAUGAAAAUAACCUUUCCUUCGGGACUGCUGUACAGGUGCUGCAUGGCUGUCGUCAGCUCGUGCCGUGAGGUGUUGGGUUAAGUCUCGCAGCGAGCGCAACCCUUACCAUUAGUUGCCAUCAGGUUAAGCUGGGCACUCUAAUGGGACUGCCUACGUAAGUAGUGAGGAAGGUGGGGACGACGUCAAGUCAGCAUGGCCCUUACGCCCAGGGCUACACACGUGCUACAAUGGGUACCACAACGGGUUGCCAAGCCGCAAGGUGGAGCUAAUCCCUCAAAGGUAUCCUCAGUUCGGAUUGGAGUCUGCAACUCGACUCCAUGAAGU
Molecule: ribosomal RNA, 350 nt
Filed under: uncultured bacterium
Lineage: Bacteria
Description: bacterial SSU rRNA
Rfam family: Bacterial small subunit ribosomal RNA
Source: RNAcentral